This 396-nucleotide ribosomal RNA is filed under the name uncultured bacterium. RNAcentral's name for it is "partial 16S ribosomal RNA". It matches the Rfam family "Bacterial small subunit ribosomal RNA", at positions 523 to 918 of the family's 1533-position model. The record is from RNAcentral.
AUACGUAGGUGGCAAGCGUUAUCCGGAUUUACUGGGUGUAAAGGGCGUGUAGGCGGGCCUGCAAGUCAGGUGUGAAAUUCCAGGGCUCAAUCCUGGAACUGCACUUGAAACUGUGGGUCUUGAGUGAUGGAGAGGCAGGCGGAAUUCCGUGUGGUGCGGUGAAAUGCGUAGAUAUACGGAGGAACACCAGUGGCGAAGGCGGCCUGCUGGACAUUAACUGACGCUGAAGCGCGAAAGCGUGGGGAGCAAACAGGAUUAGAUACCCUGGUAGUCCACGCUGUAAACGAUGGAUACUAGGUGUGGGGGGUCUGACCCCCUCCGUGCCGCAGUUAACACAAUAAGUAUCCCACCUGGGGAGUACGAUCGCAAGGUUGAAACUCAAAUGAAUUGACGGGG